Molecule: ribosomal RNA, 724 nt
Filed under: Pantoea sp.
Lineage: Bacteria; Pseudomonadati; Pseudomonadota; Gammaproteobacteria; Enterobacterales; Erwiniaceae
Description: bacterial SSU rRNA
Rfam family: Bacterial small subunit ribosomal RNA
Source: RNAcentral
AUUGAACGCUGGCGGCAGGCCUAACACAUGCAAGUCGAGCGGUAGAGAGAAGCUUGCUUCUCUUGAGAGCGGCGGACGGGUGAGUAAUGCCUAGGAAUCUGCCUGGUAGUGGGGGAUAACGUUCGGAAACGGACGCUAAUACCGCAUACGUCCUACGGGAGAAAGCAGGGGACCUUCGGGCCUUGCGCUAUCAGAUGAGCCUAGGUCGGAUUAGCUAGUUGGUGAGGUAAUGGCUCACCAAGGCGACGAUCCGUAACUGGUCUGAGAGGAUGAUCAGUCACACUGGAACUGAGACACGGUCCAGACUCCUACGGGAGGCAGCAGUGGGGAAUAUUGGACAAUGGGCGAAAGCCUGAUCCAGCCAUGCCGCGUGUGUGAAGAAGGUCUUCGGAUUGUAAAGCACUUUAAGUUGGGAGGAAGGGCAGUUACCUAAUACGUGAUUGUUUUGACGUUACCGACAGAAUAAGCACCGGCUAACUCUGUGCCAGCAGCCGCGGUAAUACAGAGGGUGCAAGCGUUAAUCGGAAUUACUGGGCGUAAAGCGCGCGUAGGUGGUUAGUUAAGUUGGAUGUGAAAUCCCCGGGCUCAACCUGGGAACUGCAUUCAAAACUGACUGACUAGAGUAUGGUAGAGGGUGGUGGAAUUUCCUGUGUAGCGGUGAAAUGCGUAGAUAUAGGAAGGAACACCAGUGGCGAAGGCGACCCCCCCUGGACUGAUACCUGAC